RNAcentral lists this long non-coding RNA (293 nucleotides) under Linum usitatissimum (flax). RNAcentral describes it as "long non-coding RNA (LUSI_LNC002115)". The record is from RNAcentral. Lineage: Eukaryota; Viridiplantae; Streptophyta; Magnoliopsida; Malpighiales; Linaceae.
AUUCUGCAUUGAUCCAAACUUUUUUAGACUAAAUUAAUUAUUUGACAUAGAAUUGAAGGGAAUACAAGCUCGACCUAGGAGUACUUUGAAGUUGCCAGCAGAAAUGCAUGUUUACAUAUGCUGGCUGCUUGCUUAUUAGUGAAAGAACAAAAACGAUCAUUUCUCACCUCACCUGUGGUUGAAAAUUUGUCUCGUGUUUGCGUUUUCAUGUAGGGUCAUGAACAGUAACAACUUUUUUCCAGAUUCAACUCCAGCACUGACUCCGUCAUAUGGAGGUGCUGCUGACUUGAAAC